AAAAGAACUUUGAAGAGAGAGUUAAACAGGACGUGAAACCACUAGGGACGAAGCGGAUGGAGUUGACGAAACUAACAGUAUUCAAUAUUGUGCGUUCGCUUGGCGGCAUGCGUGUGGUGUGUUGUGCAUCGCGGCGAUGUUGUUUCUUGUGGACGUGCGGUUUGCAUUUGCUGUUAAUAUGUGCUGAGAGGUCUGGUUGCUUCUUCCUAACUUUGGUGCGUUGCCCUACGUCUUUGGCGAAGGUGUCUUGUGCCGAAGGGAUGUUGAUAGUGACUAGGCUCCGACUGCAGCUUGCGAUUGCGCGGUUGGCGUGGCGUAGUGCAUUGUGCGUGAGCGGUGGCUUGUCACUUGUUUGCGAUUUCAGUGUACGAUGUUCGCGUUGGACGCUAAGUAGCUGUCUCAGUAUGAAAAGUCAGCCACCCAUCCGACCCGUCUUGAAACACGGACCAAGAAGUCUAGCAUGUGCGCGAGUCAUUGGGUGUAAAAACCUAAAGGCGAAAUGAAAGUGAAGGCCGACUUGGUGCGGCUGAUAUGGGAGUCGUGUUCGUGCGCGUUCGCGAUGCACCAUAGCCCCAUCCCGUGAGCUUGCUCGGGGGUGGAGGAAGAGCGUACAUGCUGGGACCCGAAAGAUGGUGAACUAUGCCUGAGCAGGAUGAAGUCAGAGGAAACUCUGAUGGAAGUCCGAAGCGGUUCUGACGUGCAAAUCGAUCGUCUGACUUGGGUAUAGGGGCGAAAGACUAAUCGAACCAUC
RNAcentral lists this ribosomal RNA (751 nucleotides) under Teratodiplogaster cf. martini NK-2021. Its description in RNAcentral is "partial 28S ribosomal RNA". It matches the Rfam family "Eukaryotic large subunit ribosomal RNA", at positions 367 to 944 of the family's 3401-position model. Lineage: Eukaryota; Metazoa; Nematoda; Chromadorea; Rhabditida; Diplogasteridae. The record is from RNAcentral.